AACCGACAGAGAAAAAAGUAGACAGGAGACAGAGUGACGCUUGCUUACAUUGUCAGAUACCUGGAUCCAGUCACAGCUUUGGACUUCUCUCAUGAACUCUUCAGAUUCAGACAGCUGGCGAUCAUGGAAAGCUUCAAUUACUUACAUCCAGACAAGAAUAUCUUUUAAUAUCUUCUCCAGGUACAGUUAAUCUUCAGGUCCCUGGAGUGCUGCUGUCCAUGAGGUCCUGAAGAGUCAGAAAUGACUGAGCAACUGAUCAAUGACAAUCGUCAGUUCAAGAGUAGGUUUAUUUUCAUUUCUCUAAGAUUAACAAGCUACAACAUGCAGUGCCAGUUCAACAAGGAUAUAUAAAACUACACCCAACCAUGGAAAAUAUCACUCACCCUUAGAUGGACACCACUUUAUGGACUCUGAGGCUUGAGACUAAGAAGGGGAGGCCCAAUGCCCCUCGCUGUCCCAGGUCAGCAGGAAAUAGCCAGAAAGACAUCUAUGCCCCUGUUCCUAAAGAAUUGGGCCUCCAUCUCUUGAGGGGGAAAUGUUAGGUAGUUAGAAUAGGAAAAAGGAGUCCAUAAUGGUGGUGCCUAAAAGAGAAAGAAAGGAAAAGCCUGCAAACAGAACAAAGGAAGGUCCAAGGACCUGUGUGAGAACCUCAGGGAAAACAGACAGCCCUCCUGGCUGUCCAAUUUACAUUAGGCAGGCUCAGGGGGAGGAGAAAAAACAUAUACAGAGAGGAGCCAAAACUGAGCUGGGGGCUUUUCUUUGUGUCUUUUGGGUCAGCCUGCCCUCAAGCCUUGAGGGUGUAUUUUCCUUUGCUUGUCAAAUAAAACUGAGCUGUAAUA
Long non-coding RNA from Bubalus bubalis (water buffalo), 839 nucleotides. RefSeq lists it as uncharacterized. The transcript is spliced from 4 exons. The record is from RefSeq and is a predicted model, not a curated record. NCBI's taxonomy places the organism in Eukaryota, Metazoa, Chordata, Mammalia, Artiodactyla, Bovidae.